RNA transcript from Vigna umbellata (rice bean), 4397 nucleotides. It is a transcript of the gene named RAD3-like DNA-binding helicase protein, with no coding region annotated. NCBI's taxonomy places the organism in Eukaryota, Viridiplantae, Streptophyta, Magnoliopsida, Fabales, Fabaceae. The record is from RefSeq and is a predicted model, not a curated record.
CAUCAACUUAGCCGCCAAAUCCUUCUGACAAUCUGUUUCCCGCCUAAACUUAAACAGUCGAGAAGUAGAGAGGCAGAGUAUGCACAUCUCAUCUCAUAUUGUGAAAUCUGAAGUGAAUGACAGAAAAAAAUGGUCUCUGCAUCAAACCCUAACCCUAAAACUAAGAAUGUUUACCACAUCGGUGGUCUGGAAGUAGAAUUUCCUUACCAACCAUAUGGGUCUCAGUUUGCCUUUAUGGGUAGAGUGAUCUCUACCCUCAACCAGGCUCGGAGAGAAGGCCACUGUCACGCGUUGCUCGAGUCUCCAACUGGCACCGGCAAGUCCCUUUCGCUUCUCUGUUCAUCUCUCGCUUGGCAGCAACACUAUAAAUCUAAACAAGACCCCCUCAAUCCCCUCCCGGAGGCAACCACCGAUCCUCUGGCUUAUGGCGGCGGAUUUGUUGUCGAGGAGCUUUCACUAUCUUCUGCAUCAGAAAACUCGGACCGUACGCAAACUGAGGCAAACAACAAGAAGCAGAAGAAAAAGAAAGCACCGACUAUUUAUUACGCUUCGAGAACGCACUCACAGAUUUCUCAAGUGGUUAACGAAUUGCGCAAAACUGCAUACAGGGUGCCAAUGGCUGUGUUGGCGUCGCGGAAACAUUACUGCACAAAUAAAAAUAUAAUUGGCAAAGAGAAUAUCAAUGAAGAAUGUAAACUAUUAUUGAAAGAUGAGGCAACAGGGUGUCCAGAAUUCAAAAAUGCUCAUAAAGUCAAAGGUCAUCCAUCCCUUCAGAAAGGAGGAUGCAAUGAGGUGCAUGACAUAGAAGAUCUAGUAAAAGUUGGACAAUUGGUCAAAGGGUGCUCUUAUUAUGCUGCUCGUUCUAUGUCAGAUGAUGCACAGUUGGUAUUUUGUCCUUAUAACUAUAUCAUUAAUCCAGUCAUCCGGGCAGCAAUGGAUGUGGAUAUCAAAGGCGCCAUAGUGAUUCUUGAUGAAGCUCACAAUAUAGAGGACAUUGCUCGUGAUGCUGGAAGUGUGGAUAUUGAAGAGGAUGUUUUUGAUAAACUACAAAUGGAACUCCAGCGACUUUGUUCAAUUAAUACUGCAAUUUACCAACCACUAUAUGAAAUGGCACAGGGCCUUACUAGUUGGAUGGAAAGGAAGAAAAACCAGCUCGAAAAACGUGAUUUUCACCACUAUGUAUCGCAUUGGACUGGUGAUAAUGCUUUACGAGAGCUUGAAGAAGCAAAUAUUUCGAAGCAGUGCUUCCCUAUCUUGUUGGAAUGUGCUACCAAGGCAAUCAAAGUUGCUACAGACUUGGAGACAGAUGAACCGCAUAUAAGUGGCACGGCAGUGAUAACAUUGGAAGGCUUAUUCUCGUCGCUAACUUAUUUCUUCUCAAGAAAUGGAUCUCACAUGUUGGAUUACCAGCUUGCUCUUCAGCGACGUGUUAGAAAAGAUACUGGAAGAGCUACUGGAAACUGGACAUGCGCUUUUAGUUUAUGGUGUUUGAAUCCAGCAGUUGUGUUUAGAGAUGUUGCUGAUCUUUCUUUAUCAAUUAUCUUGACUUCAGGAACACUGUCACCAUUGGCAUCCUUUACUUCUGAGCUUGGAGUUCAUUUUGAAACUAGUCUAGAAGCUCCUCAUGUAAUUGAUGUUGACUCACAGGUGUGGCCUGCUGUAAUCUCCACUGGUCCUGGCAAUUAUCCUUUGAAUGCAAGUUAUAAAACUGCAGAUGGAUAUGCAUUCCAGGAUGCAGUUGGAAAAUCUUUAGAGGAAAUUUUCAAGAUUGUUCCAGGCGGAUGCCUUGUGUUCUUUCCAAGUUAUAAAUUGAUGGACAAAUUACGCAACCGUUGGUCUGAAACAGGUCAAUGGUCUCGACUAAAUGCAGAAAAGCCUCUUUUUGUCGAACCAAGAGGCGGAAGCCAAGAUGAUUUUGAACUGGUAUUAAAGGGGUAUUAUGAUUCAAUUCAUCACGAAGAAGGACCAGCGCGGGGAAGGAAAAGAAGGAUUAAGAAAAUAGAUCUAAAUCAUGUGCAUGCAGUUGAUUCCCUACAGAAUUCUAGAAAAGGAGGAGCAGCUUUACUUGGUGUUUGUCGAGGAAAGGUUUCUGAAGGAAUUGAUUUCUCCGAUGCUAAUGCUAGAGUAGUUAUUAUUGUUGGUAUUCCAUUUCCAAAUAUAAAUGAUAUUCAAGUUGGAUUGAAGAAGAAAUAUAAUGACACCUACAAAUCAUUCAAAAGUCUAUUGAGUGGAAAUGAGUGGUACUGCCACCAAGCAUUCCGAGCUUUAAAUCAAGCUGCAGGGCGCUGUAUACGUCAUAAAUUUGAUUAUGGAGCAAUUAUCCUAUUGGAUGAACGUUUUCAAGAAGAAAGAAAUAGGGCAUUUAUUUCAAAGUGGAUAAGAAGACCGUUGAAAGUAUAUGACAGCUUUGAUUUGUCAUUGGAGGGAUUAAAGUCUUUCUUUGAGAAUGCUAAGGAACACUAUGGCAUAAAUACAGUGCAUGCCACACAGAGUUUAGAUAUAAAUGGGGAUGUCCAAAAGAAGGAUCAGAAUGCAUGUUCCACAAGAAAAAAUAAUCAGAAGCUGAACAAGUCUGAUAAUGGAGAUGGGAGGGAAACAACAAUGAUCGAGAAUAGCAUUUCUUCACCCACCCUAACCUCUCAAGAUCUUGUUGAGUGUGAGCCAUCAGCUCAAAAGAAUAGUAGCACUUAUAGUUGUAAAUAUCUCCCACAGUACUUUACAAAGACAGAUCCAAGGUUCACUGCAAUCAUGCACGAGGAAACUUACGUUGUCAAGGAAACCCCUUGUAUAGACGUUGACUAUGGUCCCAGUAGCCCUCAUUACUCCAAAGAUGACAACUCUGGUUCCUUCAUAAUUGAGGCCCCCGCUCAAAUUCCAGGUCACGAGUCAAUGUCUUUGAAUACUGGAAGCAAAAAUUCUUCAAGGGCUCAGUCUUCAAUUACAGUUACUCCUAAAAGGAGUGUAAUUACAAAUGAUAUUCCAGAAAUGGAAAGUGUUAAUUCUUACCAUCAUAAAAGGAUGAGGCCCACAGUCACUCCUUAUAUAAACCUUGAAGAAGAAAACUUUAUUGCACCUUGUGCCAGUCCUCCUCUUACACGGUCCAGUGUAGUUGUUAGAGAGAUAAUUCAGGCAAGUGAAUAUGAUUUUGUGAGGGUUUUGAAGUCAAAUUCUCCUCCAUUACUGAUAAGCAAUAUACCCGGUUCAUGUUCACCAACUGCCCCUCCACUAGACCAAAGAUUAUUGAUAUUUUGUUCACUCUGCAAAAGUCCAUUAGGCCGACCUGAGAACCAUCUAUAUCUUAGGUGCUCGAUGAUUUCAUCAUCAAAAGUUCAUCUAAGAUCCCUUUUGAAACAGAGGCUGAGAACUUGCACUACUGAUACUUCAAAGAGUAUUCCAGUUCUCAUUACUGAUUCUUUAUUUGUUGAUCAACGAAUUUGCAAUAGAAUACCCAAAAGCGCACCAGAACACAGUAUUUGGUGUCCAGAAGAUGGGUGUGUUUUCAGCACCAUUUUCUGCCCCUUUUGCAGUAAUGUCAGCAAUUUGCUAGGAGUUCAGAUCAUGGCUACCGACUCAUCAAAUGUUCAGUUACUUGACAAGAUAUUGUUUUACUUUGAUUCAUUGGAAGUUAAGAGCAGUGAGGAAUCAGGGAGCACUGAUUCAGGAAACGGGGAUCUGUUGCCGGUUAAUGACUCUGGUGAGGAUAAAACUACUGUCUUAAAUUCUAUUGAAAAAUAUUCUUAUCUUCCCCGACCAGGGAAUGCAGAAGUUUUUAAGACUGGGAAAUCAAAGCAAAGACUAAGAGGCUUGCGCUGUGCAGCAAACCAAAGCUGAAGCCAGUAAGAUUGGAUUUGUGACGCAGUUUUGGUAACCGUGUUAAGAACACAAAUUGACCUGAGUAUGGUGAUUUUUCAAGAAUUGAAUCAAAGAAUGUGUUGUUUGACAUCAAACACAUUUAAUGUAAUUAAAUUUUCUACGAUUAAUUUCUUUUCCGGUCUUCAAGGUCUGCCUCCAUUGCUCACCACCCGCAAAUGACCCAGAUACUAAGUAGGAACCAUGUCUCGGUUUUAUCGGAAUAUCUAAUAGUGAUAACAAUGACCCGAAUUGUAGUGGUGCUUCUGUACAGCAAGUUAUAAAAGAUGGCUUUCUCUUUGUACAUUUUGGAAGAUGAUUUCUAGUUACAUAUGUUGGCUCAACUGAGUUUUUCUGUAAAGCAUUUCCAACAAUACCAUCCUGUCUGUACAUGGAACUAUGUUCGAAUAUUUAAUCCACAAUUCCAAGUAAAGAAGCUCCUCUUUUCCUAGAGUUAUGUAGAGAAUCUACAUUAACAUGAUUUAGAUAAAUUCUGAAUCCUCUUUCCACGAAUUGAAUCAUAAUACCCCAAUGCAGUUCAAAAUCAC